This is a microRNA precursor of Sorghum bicolor (sorghum), 109 nucleotides long. It matches the Rfam family "MIR5565 microRNA precursor family". The record is from Rfam. Lineage: Eukaryota; Viridiplantae; Streptophyta; Magnoliopsida; Poales; Poaceae.
GUAGUUGGAUUCACAUCAAUCCACAUGUAUUGGGGUGGGUUAGAGUAGAAUUUGAACUAAAUUCCACCAUAAUCCACUCCAAUAUAUGUGGAUUGAGGUGAAUUCGACA